UACGUAGGGGGCAAGCGUUGUCCGGAUUUAUUGGGCGUAAAGAGCGUGUAGGCGGCCAGGUAGGUCUCGCGUGAAAACUCGAGGCUUAACCUCGAGCUGUCGGCGGAAACCAUCUGGCUAGAGUCCGGAAGAGGAGAAUGGAAUUCCCGGUGUAGCGGUGAAAUGCGCAGAUAUCGGGAAGAACACCCGUGGCGAAGGCGGUUCUCUGGGACGGUACUGACGCUGAGACGCGAAAGCGUGGGGAGCGAACAGG
RNAcentral lists this ribosomal RNA (253 nucleotides) under uncultured bacterium. RNAcentral describes it as "partial 16S ribosomal RNA". It matches the Rfam family "Bacterial small subunit ribosomal RNA", at positions 524 to 776 of the family's 1533-position model. The record is from RNAcentral.